GCCACUGCCUGGUGAGAACAGCCUGUGGGGUGACAACACUGCCACACAAAGUGAAAGGUAACUCUGGGUGGACACUGGGCCAGAGGCCAGUGAGUGACAGGAGGAAGCCACAAACAUCCCUUUCUACUCACCUGCAUGCACAUGUGUGCACACAGCCUCUUGCCUCAGACAGAAAAAGAGGAUUAAAGAUGUGAGGUGAGAUGAGCAUACUCCUGUCACCAGCUGUGAGAACACCCCUGAGCCAGACUGCCAGGUUGGAGCAGUAAUCCCAGAUGUACAAUAAAAAGCAUCAGUAUUGAUGAUGCCAAGACCACAGAAGCCGUUCAGAAUAGAGGUGGUGGGAGGGAAGAAGGGCACGGACACCACAGAAGGAGCUGAUGCUGCAGCAGACUUUUGCUAAGGAGGGAUCCUGUUUGCUGAGGAUCCUCAGGCUGAGGCAGUGGGGAAAAAUGGGGGAAGGAAGGGCCUGGCUUGAGAAGAUAAAAGAGCAUUAGCAUUAGCAUUUGGCUUGUAGAACACCUCCUCCUGUUCAAACUGAGCAAUGUUCCAAUGACCAGCCUUUCCUCCAGGGUGAUUUGCUCCCUUCCAGUAGUGCAGAGCUGUACUGUGCAGAAGGAAAAGAAGACCCCUAUCCCUGCCCUAGAGGUGUCUGCAGCAGGUGCUGAACCAUAACCAGCCUCUCUGAGAUUAUGGGCCACUUUGAUGAAUGACUUUACAACCCCAGCUACUGAAGGGCUGUGCCUCACGAGAGGGCACGGUAAGAGCCCCAGCAGCACAGAGCAAACACGAUCAUUUUCUGGGGAAGGAAGGAGGGACAGAGGUAAUGACAGCCCUGCUGCUCCAUUUUCUUGGCAUGAAAAUAUGAAUGGGCUACUCCAAAAAGCAUAAUGGCACCUUUGAAAAUUGAUACCCUUUUUCUCACAUGGAUAUUUUCCCUCUCUUAUCUCCUGAAACUGCUUCAUCUGGAUGAGCCCCUUGGACUGCCUGGGCAUGGUGCAGUGUGAAGAUUGUGGGGAGACACCAAAAAGUGAUGUUUGGGAUGCGCCACCUUUUUCCAUACUGCUGGCAGAAGGGACAGGGAAGCUUUUCCAAGGAGUCUGUACUGAUUCUGCAAGCUACUGGGCAUAGAUAAUCCUGAAGCUGACUGAGUUCCAUUUUGGCCACCACUGUGAAAACAGGUGAGUUUUUAAAAAAAUUUAAAGCUACUGAGGCCAAGCAGGCAUAUCCUGCUUAGAUGGCAUGGGUAUGAAUUAAAGUUUUGUUGGAAGUUUGCAGGUUGUGCCAGCCAAAAAGGUUCUGUUUACUUUAUAUCCAGCAGGCAAGAUUAUUUUCAUGUCAGUGUAGGAUCACUCAGCUUGGCAAGACUGCCCAGGAGGUGCCUAGUCCAGCAUCCUGCUCCAAACAGGGUCAGUCAGGAGGUCAAAUUAGAGCUUUAUGCAGUCAGGUAUUGAAAAAACCCAUGGAUACAGAGCAUUUUAACAAUACUGUCAUGAGGGCACCCUGGCUUGCAGGAAGUAGGAUGGAGGAUUUAUUACACCUGAGUGGCACAUUUUAGACACUGCACCUCAAAUACUGGUUGUAGUGACAGCAGCUGUGGUGUGAAAUCACAAUAAAUAAAAUUUGCAAACAAUCCUUUAAGCUGCAGGAGUGGAGGGCAUAGCAAACCAGCCAGAGAUGGCAAAGUGCAGAGUGAGGAGCUUGGGAAUCAGCAUUAGUAGGGAAGGACAAACAGGUUUGGGAACUGGGCAGGAUGCUGAGACUGUGGCUGGAAACCAAAGGAAGAAACACAAACACAGGCUGGAGAGAUGCACAAGGGAAAAGAAGUGCACAAACCCUCACUGGGCCAACAGCACAGAGGAACAUCCAGACUGACAGGCAAGGAGGUGGAGAAAUAUUAAGAGGGAACACUGGCAUUUUUCCAAGUUAUUUGAAAUUUUUACCAAAGAGCUGGAGGACACAUAAGGCUGAAAAGGAGAAUUAAGGAGUUGAUGUUGGAGGUGAGCGCAAAGAAACAGGCUGGGAAGUAACCAGGUUUGGGAACUAUGGCACCUCUCCCCUUUCUACACAUAGGACAGAAAGCCUGUGAAGGAGUAGAAGAACCAGGAGUUUCAGCAAUGCCUGUUGGCAUAUUCUUUCAUUUUGAGGUUCUACACAGGUUCUGACCUGUUUCUCUGCCUUGCUCCAGUGAUACCAUGAUGUGACAA
Long non-coding RNA from Passer domesticus (house sparrow), 2204 nucleotides. RefSeq lists it as uncharacterized. The transcript has 3 exons. Lineage: Eukaryota; Metazoa; Chordata; Aves; Passeriformes; Passeridae. The record is from RefSeq and is a predicted model, not a curated record.